RNAcentral lists this non-coding RNA (66 nucleotides) under Vibrio diazotrophicus. The record is from RNAcentral. Lineage: Bacteria; Pseudomonadati; Pseudomonadota; Gammaproteobacteria; Vibrionales; Vibrionaceae.
UUUGACACGACAUUGCUCACAUUGCUUCCAGUGUAAUUUUAAGCUUUUCGGUAGUGCUGAACGUUU